This 929-nucleotide ribosomal RNA is filed under the name Salmonella enterica. Its description in RNAcentral is "partial 23S ribosomal RNA". It matches the Rfam family "Bacterial large subunit ribosomal RNA", at positions 711 to 1637 of the family's 2925-position model. RNAcentral also lists the same sequence under 1 other name. The record is from RNAcentral. Lineage: Bacteria; Pseudomonadati; Pseudomonadota; Gammaproteobacteria; Enterobacterales; Enterobacteriaceae.
AGACCCGAAACCCGGUGAUCUAGCCAUGGGCAGGUUGAAGGUUGGGUAACACUAACUGGAGGACCGAACCGACUAAUGUUGAAAAAUUAGCGGAUGACCUGUGGCUGGGGGUGAAAGGCCAAUCAAACCGGGAGAUAGCUGGUUCUCCCCGAAAGCUAUUUAGGUAGCGCCUCGUGAAUUCAUCUCCGGGGGUAGAGCACUGUUUCGGCUAGGGGGCCAUCCCGGCUUACCAACCCGAUGCAAACUGCGAAUACCGGAGAAUGUUAUCACGGGAGACACACGGCGGGUGCUAACGUCCGUCGUGAAGAGGGAAACAACCCAGACCGCCAGCUAAGGUCCCAAAGUCAUGGUUAAGUGGGAAACGAUGUGGGAAGGCCCAGACAGCCAGGAUGUUGGCUUAGAAGCAGCCAUCAUUUAAAGAAAGCGUAAUAGCUCACUGGUCGAGUCGGCCUGCGCGGAAGAUGUAACGGGGCUAAACCAUGCACCGAAGCUGCGGCAGCGACACUCAGGUGUUGUUGGGUAGGGGAGCGUUCUGUAAGCCUGCGAAGGUGGCCUGUGAGGGUUGCUGGAGGUAUCAGAAGUGCGAAUGCUGACAUAAGUAACGAUAAAGCGGGUGAAAAGCCCGCUCGCCGGAAGACCAAGGGUUCCUGUCCAACGUUAAUCGGGGCAGGGUGAGUCGACCCCUAAGGCGAGGCCGAAAGGCGUAGUCGAUGGGAAACGGGUUAAUAUUCCCGUACUUGGUGUUACUGCGAAGGGGGGACGGAGAAGGCUAUGUUGGCCGGGCGACGGUUGUCCCGGUUUAAGCGUGUAGGUGUGUGUUCCAGGUAAAUCCGGUUCACUUUAACACUGAGGCGUGAUGACGAGGCACUACGGUGCUGAAGCAACAAAUGCCCUGCUUCCAGGAAAAGCCUCUAAGCAUCAGGUAACAU